UACAGAGGUCUCAAGCGUUGUUCGGAUUCAUUGGGCGUAAAGGGUGCGCAGGCGGCGAGGCAAGUCGGACGUGAAAUCUCGGGGCUUAACCCCGAAACUGCGUUCGAUACUGCCUUGCUUGAGGACUGGAGAGGAGACUGGAAUUCCUGGUGUAGCAGUGAAAUGCGUAGAUAUCAGGAGGAACGCCAAUGGCGAAGGCAGCUACCUGGACCAACACUGACACUGAGGCACGAAAGCGUGGGGAGCAAACAGG
This 253-nucleotide ribosomal RNA is filed under the name uncultured bacterium. RNAcentral's name for it is "partial 16S ribosomal RNA". It matches the Rfam family "Bacterial small subunit ribosomal RNA", at positions 524 to 776 of the family's 1533-position model. The record is from RNAcentral.